RNAcentral lists this ribosomal RNA (255 nucleotides) under uncultured bacterium. RNAcentral's name for it is "partial 16S ribosomal RNA". It matches the Rfam family "Bacterial small subunit ribosomal RNA", at positions 524 to 775 of the family's 1533-position model. The record is from RNAcentral.
GACGUAGGUGGCGAACGUUAUCCGGAAUUAUUGGGCGUAAAGGGUGCGUAGAUGGCCUGACAAGUUAGCAGUGGGAAAUCGAGGCUCAACCUCGUGGAAGCUGGUAAUACUGUCUGGCUCGAGUGCAGGAGAGGUUAACGGAACUCCAUGUGGAGCGGUAAAAUGCGUAGAUAUAUGGAAGAACACCAAUAACGGCGAAGGCAGUUAACUAUUCUGCUACUGACAUUGAGGCACGAAAGCGUGGGGAGCAAAAGG